AAACGGCCCCGUGAGAAGCUGCAGAGGCUGGUGUGAGAAGCUCAGUGUCGUCCGUUAAAUUUAGACCUGUGUCUUUGUGGAGUCUGAAGGCACUGCCUCCAUUGCUUCAGUUUCCUUUAUAAGUUUCCUGAUAACCUCAGCUGGUGUUGGAGAGUCCCAUAGAGUUCAAUGAGCGCUUGCAUAACAUUCUGUAAAUUGAAUUAUCUUUGCAUCAGUGGGUAAAGCACAGAGUAGCUGGGG
This 240-nucleotide long non-coding RNA is filed under the name Bos taurus (domestic cattle). Its description in RNAcentral is "long non-coding RNA NONBTAT012670". Lineage: Eukaryota; Metazoa; Chordata; Mammalia; Artiodactyla; Bovidae. The record is from RNAcentral.